UACGUAGGGUGCAAGCGUUGUCCGGAAUUAUUGGGCGUAAAGGGUGCGUAGGCGGUUUGGUAAGUCUUAUGUGAAAUCUACAGGCUCAACUUGUAGUCUGCAUGAGAAACUGCCGGGCUUGAGUAUGGGAGAGGUGAGUGGAAUUCCUGGUGUAGCGGUGAAAUGCGUAGAUAUCAGGAGGAACACCAGUGGCGAAGGCGGCUCACUGGCCCGGUACUGACGCUGAGGUGCGAAAGCGUGGGGAGCAAACAGG
This 253-nucleotide ribosomal RNA is filed under the name uncultured bacterium. Its description in RNAcentral is "partial 16S ribosomal RNA". It matches the Rfam family "Bacterial small subunit ribosomal RNA", at positions 524 to 776 of the family's 1533-position model. The record is from RNAcentral.